GACGAACGCUGGCGGCGUGCUUAACACAUGCAAGUCGAACGGUAAGGCUCCAGCUUGCUGGGGUACACGAGUGGCGAACGGGUGAGUAACACGUGGGUGACCUGCCCUGCACUUCGGGAUAAGCCUGGGAAACUGGGUCUAAUACCGGAUAGGACCGCACCGUGAGGGUGUGGUGGAAAGUUUUUUCGGUGUGGGAUGGGCCCGCGGCCUAUCAGCUUGUUGGUGGGGUAAUGGCCUACCAAGGCGGCGACGGGUAGCCGGCCUGAGAGGGUGGACGGCCACAUUGGGACUGAGACACGGCCCAGACUCCUACGGGAGGCAGCAGUGGGGAAUAUUGCACAAUGGGCGGAAGCCUGAUGCAGCGACGCCGCGUGGGGGAUGACGGCCUUCGGGUUGUAAACUCCUUUCACCAUUGACGAAGGGUUUCUGACGGUAGAUGGAGAAGAAGCACCGGCUAACUACGUG
This 465-nucleotide ribosomal RNA is filed under the name uncultured bacterium. RNAcentral describes it as "partial 16S ribosomal RNA". It matches the Rfam family "Bacterial small subunit ribosomal RNA", at positions 28 to 507 of the family's 1533-position model. The record is from RNAcentral.